AGCAGGAUGGCCUAGUGGCAAGGGCUUGGGAGUCAGAAGUCAUGGGUUCUAAUCCCAUCUCUGCCA
RNAcentral lists this transfer RNA (66 nucleotides) under Ornithorhynchus anatinus (platypus). It matches the Rfam family "tRNA". From Rfam's summary of the family: Transfer RNA (tRNA) molecules are approximately 80 nucleotides in length. Their secondary structure includes four short double-helical elements and three loops (D, anti-codon, and T loops). The record is from Rfam by way of RNAcentral. Lineage: Eukaryota; Metazoa; Chordata; Mammalia; Monotremata; Ornithorhynchidae.